Molecule: long non-coding RNA, 421 nt
Filed under: Portunus trituberculatus (swimming crab)
Lineage: Eukaryota; Metazoa; Arthropoda; Malacostraca; Decapoda; Portunidae
Description: uncharacterized LOC123517370, transcript variant X5
Source: RNAcentral
AAGAUUCGCCAUUGUUAGUUCGUAGGAGGUGCACCAUGGCUUGCCACAAUGUCACAAUGGGUCCUUGGAGAGCCGCUGGUGUUGACUUGCUGCCUGUCUCCUCUCUGCGGUAAAACUCCACUUACCAAGUUCCAGAGGGAGAGGAUCACCAGCCACCAGUGGCCAUACUAAAGGAAGUGGCUCUAUGUAGGGAUGGAACAUGGCAACUACACCAGCUGGGACACACCUAGCCAACUGAAAGUCAAGCCAAUAGACACACUGCACCACCAAGCAAGCCAAGACAAGCCACAAUGCAACACAAGCCUUCUACAACGCCUACAGCCAUCAGCAACACCCAGAGUACAAGACAACACCUGGAGUCAUGAAGAACAGUUAGGAUGGAUAAGCAGUUUGGAAUGUUAUUUUUUUAAGGACAUUUUAA